Molecule: ribosomal RNA, 413 nt
Filed under: uncultured microorganism
Description: bacterial SSU rRNA
Rfam family: Archaeal small subunit ribosomal RNA
Source: RNAcentral
GCGCAGCAGUCGAGAAACCUCCGCAAUACACGAAAGUGUGACGGGGCCAUCCCGAGUGCCGUCCGCUGAGGACGGCUUUUCCCCAGUGUACACAGCUGGGGGAAUAAGGAGAGGGCAAGCCUGGUGUCAGCCGCCGCGGUAAUACCAGCUCUCCGAGUGGUGGGGACGCUUAUUGGGCCUAAAGCAUCCGUAGCCGGCUGGGCAAGUCCUCCGUUAAAUCCAACGAUUCAAUCGUUGGGCUGCGGGGGAUACUGUCCAGCUUGGGGGCGGGAGAGGCCGACGGUAUUCCCGGGGUAGGGGUGAAAUCCUAUAAUCCCGGGAGGACCACCAGUGGCGAAGGCUGUCGGCUAGAACGCGCCCGACGGUGAGGGAUGAAAGCUGGGGGAGCGAACCGGAUUAGAUACCCCUGUAGU